GAUGAACGCUGGCGGCGUGCUUAACACAUGCAAGUCGAACGGAAAGGCCCUGCUUUUGUGGGGUGCUCGAGUGGCGAACGGGUGAGUAACACGUGAGUAACCUGCCCUUGACUGUGGGAUAACUUCAGGAAACUGGGGCUAAUAUCGGAUAUGAGCUCCUGCUGCAGGGUGGGGGUUGGAAAGUUUCGGCCGUUGGGGAUGGACUGGCGGCUUAUGAGCUUGUUGGUUGGGUAGGGGCUUACCAAGGGUUGGAAGGGUCGGCGGCAGGGGAGGGUGGACGGCCACCUUGGGCCUGCGGUACGGCGCAGUCUGCUACGGGAGGCAGCGGUCGGGAAUAUUGCCCAAUGGGGCGGAGUGUGAUGCGGAAGCGCUGCGUUCGGGAUGACCGCCUUCGAGUUAUAAACCGCUUUCGCCUGUGACGAGGCGUGAGUGACGGUACUGGGUAAAGAAGCACCGGCUAACUACGUG
This 468-nucleotide ribosomal RNA is filed under the name uncultured bacterium. RNAcentral describes it as "partial 16S ribosomal RNA". It matches the Rfam family "Bacterial small subunit ribosomal RNA", at positions 28 to 507 of the family's 1533-position model. The record is from RNAcentral.